GUCAAGUCCUUCUUUUGACCCAUUUUGCCAAAGGAAAGGAAGUUGCCUAAUAAUUAUGCACACCUGAUAUAGGGUGUUGAUGUCAUUAGACCACACCCCUUCUCAUUACAAAGAUGCACAUCACCUAAUAUGCUUAAUUGGUAGUAGGCUUUCGAGCCUAUACAGCUUGGAGUAAGACAACAUGCAUAAAGAGGAUGAUGUGGUCAAAAUACUAAUUUGCCUAAUAAUUCUGCACUCCCUGUAGUGCUGCUCUUUGACUCUCAGAAGAGAGCGAAACGUUAGCGUUUCCCAUAAAUCAGAAACAUCUCUGCGCCCACUCUCGUACGUCGUGUGCCCAUUCCCUGACAUUAUCGGCUGUGAACGAGUCAGCUUUUGCAUAGGCGUCGUCCGCCAGGUACAUGAUGCGGGAGAGGGGGCCUAUGGUAUCCAGCAGCUUGUCCUGUGCUCCCCAAAGUCCUUUCUCCUCUUCUUUACGACGGUCACGUCCGCACCUCAUCAUAAAGGUCGACAUCACCUUAUCAAAUUCAGGCAUCUGAGCCACUUUGUCUGGCAGGGAAGGGCGUGGGCAUUCUGACCGGAGUCGGCUACGGACCUCCUUGUCCAAAGGUUUACGGAGCCACAUGUGCAUAAAUCUGGCGAUUUGCUCCAGAGGCGACCACUUCCCUGACCGGGGGUGUCGAAUAUUGCGUGGGUCGAACAUAGCUUGGCCCAUAGGAUCCAGGAUGGUGUCUGAGUCAAGAGAGGGAGGUCUGCCUCCGCAGGACCAUCCGCUAUGUCUGUCUGGGCCGCACCCGAUAUGGUCUCACGCAUAAAAGCGGAGAUAGAUAUAUCCUCUGAACCCCAAUCGUCUACCUCAGAUUCCGAUAGUUCCGCCUGCCAUUCGUCUAGGACGGACAUGGAGUGUGACAGUGCCUGUGCUUCUUCUGAGGAGGGGUCCUGACGUGGGGUUGGGGUACGGAUCUUUUUUAUUAUGUUUGGCAGGAGCCUUACCCUUUGAAUUCCUUGGUCUAGCGCCCUCGCCUUUCCAGUGGCGUUUAGCCGGGCGAGUGUCACCUCUGGCCUGAGAGUCCGAGGCUUCAGAGUUUGACUCAUGGUGGGACAGUCUGUGGAGGGAGGGUUUGGGCAAUUCGGGGCCCACAGCGAGCACCUUGUAUAGUGCCUUCUCCACAGACGCGGCGACGGCCGCAUUAAUCUUAGAUUGGAAGUCCACAGGGGUAUUCUGGGAAUCUUCCAUAGUGAUAGGGUAGGCUUGUGAUAAGUCACUUGCUAGGCAAAGUUAGUGGCACCCAGGUCUUAUGGCACAGAAACAGGCGUGGGGUCAAUAUCUCGAUGUGGUUAUGGUAUCGAUCCGUAUUAUAGACCCCAACAGGGUCCAAUUUGGUGGCCAAAUCGAACUGGGGCUCACACGGUGAAGAGGCAGCAACAGCUUGCCUCUCAAUCAGCAGCACAGUACCUUAGUACAAUAAUCCCAGUUGCAUAGGGAUUGAGACCCUUAAGUGCAGGCCACAAAUAUAUACAGUCAGCAACACUGUAGACAGAUGUGGAUGAAGUUGAAGACUUGAUGGGAGUUGCAGUCCUCAAAUCAAGGUAGUUAUGUCCAAUGUAAGUGAAUCACAAGGGUGUGUGAGCAUCCAGUGUGUCCCAGUAUACUCGUGGAGGUGAAAAAUGGCCCCCCGGAUCUCGCGAGAUGAGAUAUCCAAGAUGGCCACCGCGAGAGGAGAGAAGGUCACAAAAGCCGUGGGCUGUAGUAAGCCUGAUCGCAGCAAAAUUUCAUCCGGUCCGUCUGGUGCCGCGAGCGUUCACGGCCGCCUAGGACGGCGAAAAGGGGCGAAAUUAAGCCUAAGGGACAGGGCAGAGGAGGGGAAGACCCAGGAGCCCGGGGGAUGGAAACAAAUCCCAGGACCCCCAGGCAGCCAUCUGUACUAGCAGGAUAAAACUAGAACAUAAACAAUCUAACUAGUCAAGUAAGUCAAACUAUACAAACAUAGUUAAAGGACCACUAUAGUGCCAGGAAAACAUACUCUUAUUCCUGGCACUAUAGUGCCUUGAGGGUGCCCCUGGCUCUAGGGGGAGGAAGGACGCUCGCUGGCGUCUUAGCGCGGAAGCCCUCUAGCGACUGUCAAUGAGACAGCCACUAGAGGCUGGAUUAACCCUAAUAUAAACAUAGCAGUUUAUCUGAAACUGCUAUGUUUUAUAGAAAAAAGAUGGACCAGGCACCCAGACCACCUCAUUAAGCUGAAGUGGUCUGGGUGCCUAUAGUGGUCCUUUAAACAUGAAAAACAUAGUGAGGGAAGAGCAAAACUCUGACCUGUCUGUGGAUGGAGCAGCAAAGAAAGAGGGAGAGUUUAGGCAGCAUGCCCCUUAUAUAUGCUAUGCUGCUCACUGAUUGGUCCGUAUUCUUUGUUUUCUUUGCUGCUAUGGAGUUAGUAAAUAGAGUUUAAUGCAAAAUAGGAAGCCUCCUGACGUUGUAAAAUUUAAAUUUCAAAGAUCUCAUUCAGGGAAUUUAUUGUCGUUCUUAACAGUGUCUCGUAAAAUGAGGGAGCAAGCUUUAAAAAAAAAAAAAAUAAAAGAAAUGGCUUAGUUAGUUCCUCAUAUCAGAAUGUCAUCCUCAGUGUAUGUUGUACACUGACCCUUUCAAAGAUCCAAUCAGUUUCUAUUUUCAAAGAAACUAAAACGCAAGAGAUUGAUAGGAGAAAUGGGAAAACGAGGGGCUGUGCAGUAUUAGGCUUCAAGCAGCUAGUUCAAUGUAAACAGCAAGCAUUAAGCUUCUAGUUAAUAUUUAACUAUUUCUAUAUCAACCAGCAUCAGCCUAAGGCAUUUGUUAUAAACCUGUGAUAAUGUAAAGACGAUUUCUGACAGUCCCACUUCUAGAACAGCUUUAUACCACACUAUGAUGUGUAAGAAAAACCCAGAUGCAUUAAUUGUUUUAUCUAUUCAUUGUGCUAGUCAAAUGCUUAGAUAAAAAGUAAUCUUAACUAACUAGUUAUUACCAGAUAUCCAAUACAGUGAAGCUGCGUUCCCAAAACUAUAAGCUGUUUAAGUGUCCAGCUGUUUGUGAACAAAUAAAAUGUUUGUCGGGUUUUGUCAUAUCUUCUAGCAUCUCUCUCUGCUGGGCAGCCUGGGUGAGGAUGAGUGAUCUUCCGAUAAUUGCAGAGGCAGACGAUUGGCAUGCUGAUACUACAACCAGGAAGAUAAGCCCAUAAAACCAGUGUAUUCAGAUUAAAGGACCACUACAGGCACCCAGACCACUUCAGCUUAAUGAAGUGGUCUGGGUGCCAGGUCCAUCUAAGUUUAACCCUUUUUGCUGUAAACAUAGCAGUUUCAUAGAAACUGCUAUGUUUACAUCAUGUUUAAUCCAGCCUCUAGAAGUGCGUCCGCGCUUCUCACUGUGAUUUUCACAGUGAGAAGACGCUGCCGUCCAUAGGAAAGCAUUGAGAAUGCUUUCCUGUGGACUGGCUGAAUGCGCACGUGGCUCUUUCUGCGCAUGCGCAUUCAGCCAGGGACAUCAGAAGAAGGAGUAGAGUCCCCAGCGCCGAGGGAGCCCGGUGAUGGAAAAAAGGGAUUAACCCCUUCCUCCACCUUCAGCUCCAUGGGAGUGGGACCCUGAGGGUGGGGGCACACUCAAGGCACUAUAGUGCCCCCACCCUCAGGGUCCCACUCCCGCCGGGCUCUAGCGGUGGAAGGGGUUAAACUUACCUCUUUCUCCAGCGCCGGGCGGGGAGCUCUCCACUCCUCCUCGGCUGAAUGCGCAUGCACUGCAAGAGCUGCGCGCACGCAUUCAGCCAGUCUCAUAGGAAAGUAUUAAAAAUGCUUUCCUAUGGCCGCUGGCGUCUUCUCACUGUGAAAAUCACAGUGAGAAGCACGCAAGCGCCUCUAGCGGCUGUCAAUGAGACAGCCACUAGAGGCUGGAUUAACCCUAAUAUAAACGUUUAUUAAAAAAAGGGUUAAUCCUAGAUGGACCUGGCACCCAGAUCACCUCAUUAAGCUGAAGUGGUCUGGGUGCCUGUAGUGGUCCUUUAAGCCCACCACUAUGUCUGAGAUAUACAUUUAUUAUAGAGCAUAUAUAUGAUAUGCAUUGUGCAUUAAUCUUUCAAUGUAGGGUAAUAACUGCUUGAUCCAAGGAUAAAUCUGACUGCCAUUCUGGGGUCAAGAAGGAAUUUUUUUCCUAGCUUGUUGCAAAAUUGUGCUUCAAACUGGCUUUUUUGCCUUCUUUUGGAUCAACAGCAAAAAACAAAUGUGAGGUAGGCUGAACUUGAUGGACGCAAGUCUCUUUUCAGCUAUGUAACUAUGUGAGUAUAUACAUUUAUUUUAUAAAAGGUAAAGCUGUAUUUGUAUGUGUGCGCUGUUCCUUAACCUGAAUAGUGUAUACAUUUAUCCCCCUGUCUCCACUGCAGCGCCAUUGCUGAGAUAUGCAUGUUCCGGCUAUGCCCACCAUUGCCUAUUUAUCGUUACUAUAAAAAUAGUAUAGUGAAAAUACUGCCAGAUGAGAUAAAACCACAUAUAGUCAAAUAUAGGUAAAACUCUUUCUAAUGCUGAAAGUAUGGCAGGAAUGCUGUAAAUAAGACAACUGUUACAAAUGAAUGGAUUAAUAGAAUGUACCAAAGACAGUAUUAUGCAAAUUGAAUCUGAGCUGUUUGAAAAAUUAUAAUUUUGUUAUUGCACAACUUUGCAAUAUCUAAUCUCUAAUUGUUUACAUUAAAAACCUACUAACAAAUAACAGAAAUAUUAAACAGAUUUGUUCUAAAAAAUACCAAAUAACCUGAAAUAUUGCAUAUCGUCUUUAUGGUUUCCAUACUGAGACCAGUAAGAUGCAAGCUAACCCAUGGUGAGAAUGAAAGUGAAAGAUAGCUGGUCAGUACUAGAUAACUAU
Pelobates cultripes (western spadefoot toad) is the source of this 4870-nucleotide non-coding RNA. Lineage: Eukaryota; Metazoa; Chordata; Amphibia; Anura; Pelobatidae. The record is from the annotation of a GenBank genome assembly.